Molecule: long non-coding RNA, 686 nt
Organism: Alexandromys fortis (reed vole)
Lineage: Eukaryota; Metazoa; Chordata; Mammalia; Rodentia; Cricetidae
Exons: 3
Source: RefSeq, a predicted model, not a curated record
GGAGCACAUGCAGACUAGAAACAUGCUAUGACUUGAACCUGUCCCUCAAAAGCUGUGUCUUAGAAAAUUACUCCACAGUAGAAGAACGUUGGGAGGUAAAAUGGUGGUGAGGAUCAAAGCUCUUGGGUUCGAGACUUUUCUGACCUAGAAGUGCACAAUGUUCAUUGGCAGUAUUAUUUGAAGGACUUGGAGGGCUCUCACAGAGAUUGGCCUCAUUUGACUGAAAAUUGGAGCAGGACUUCCGAUUUCCUUGGUGUUCAAGGAAAACUAGAAACCUACAAUUCAAAAAGGAAUGCCGGAGUGGAAAUUUACGCUCUCAAAACCUUCACCCCACAACAGAUGGAAACAGAGGCAGAGAACCAUAUCCGAGCACUGGACGAGCUCCCAAGGUACAGUUGAAGAGUGGAAGAAGUGAGAAUAUGAGCAAGGAGGUCAAGACCAUGAGGAGUUUACCCACUGAGACAGUUUGCCUGAGCUAAUGGUAGCUCACCAACUCCAACUGGACUGGGAAUGAAUGAGCAUGGGAUCAAACUAGUCCCCCUGAAUGUGGUUUGACAGUUUGGGGCAGACUGAGGGGCCACUGACAGUGACACCGGGAUUUGUCUCUACUGCAUGUACUGGCUUUUUUGAAAUCUUAUUCUCUUUGGAUGUAUACCUUGCUCAACAUAGAUGUAGUAGGGAGGGCC